CCCCACGUUCGGAUUGCAGGCUGNAACCCGCCUGCAUGAAGCCGGAAUCGCUAGUAAUCGCGGAUCAGAAUGCCGCGGUGAAUACGUUCCCGGGUCUUGUACACACCGCCCGUCACACCAUGGGAGCCGGGAAUGCCCGAAGUCAGUGGCCCAACCGAAAGGGGGAGCUGCCGAAGGCAGGCCUGGUGACUGGGGUGAAGUCGUAACAAGGUAAC
Molecule: ribosomal RNA, 215 nt
Filed under: uncultured bacterium
Lineage: Bacteria
Description: partial 16S ribosomal RNA
Rfam family: Bacterial small subunit ribosomal RNA
Source: RNAcentral